CAAAAGAAGUAGGUAGCUUAACCUUCGGGAGGGCGCUUACCACUUUGUGAUUCAUGACUGGGGUGAAGUCGUAACAAGGUAACCGUAGGGGAACCUGCGGUUGGAUCACCUCCUUACCUGAAGAUAC
Molecule: ribosomal RNA, 127 nt
Filed under: Pantoea ananatis
Lineage: Bacteria; Pseudomonadati; Pseudomonadota; Gammaproteobacteria; Enterobacterales; Erwiniaceae
Also listed under: 5 other names
Description: partial 16S ribosomal RNA
Rfam family: Bacterial small subunit ribosomal RNA
Source: RNAcentral